RNAcentral lists this non-coding RNA (587 nucleotides) under Paenibacillus pectinilyticus. RNAcentral describes it as "Bacterial large subunit ribosomal RNA". It matches the Rfam family "Bacterial large subunit ribosomal RNA", at positions 661 to 1250 of the family's 2925-position model. Lineage: Bacteria; Bacillati; Bacillota; Bacilli; Caryophanales; Paenibacillaceae. The record is from Rfam by way of RNAcentral.
CGGAGCCGCAGCGAAAGCGAGUCUGAAUAGGGCGCUUUAGUACGUGGACGUAGACCCGAAACCGUGUGAUCUACCCCUGUCCAGGGUGAAGGUGAGGUAACACUCACUGGAGGCCCGAACCCACGCAUGUUGAAAAAUGCGGGGAUGAGGUGGGGGUAGCGGAGAAAUUCCAAUCGAACUCGGAGAUAGCUGGUUCUCCCCGAAAUAGCUUUAGGGCUAGCCUCGGAUGUGGAGUUGUGGAGGUAAAGCACUGAUUGGGUGCGGGGCCCGCCAAGGGUUACCAAGUCCAGUCAAACUCUGAAUGCCACAAACUUAAAUCCGGGAGUCAGACAGUGAGUGCUAAGAUCCAUUGUCAAAAGGGAAACAGCCCAGACCAUCAGCUAAGGUCCCCAAGUGUGUGUUAAGUGGGAAAGGAUGUGGAGUUGCACAGACAACCAGGAUGUUGGCUUAGAAGCAGCCACCAUUGAAAGAGUGCGUAAUAGCUCACUGGUCGAGUGACUCUGCGCCGAAAAUGUAACGGGGCUAAACACGCCACCGAAGCUAUGGCUUGCACAAUGUGCAUGGGUAGGGGAGCGUUGUAUGUACGU